Long non-coding RNA from Zea mays, 256 nucleotides. RefSeq lists it as uncharacterized. The record is from RefSeq and is a predicted model, not a curated record. The transcript has 2 exons. Lineage: Eukaryota; Viridiplantae; Streptophyta; Magnoliopsida; Poales; Poaceae.
GUGCGAGUGUGGCGGAGAGAAAGAUCUCAGGUUUUUGGAUGGAGAAGAAGCGAGGCCAGUGCGACGCUCGCUAUGUGCUCGACGUAAGGUACGCUAGCUGAUCACGUGAGGCGGAGUUCAAGAGCCGAGUUGAUCUCAAGAUGAUGAAAUGAUGAACUACUCCGACAAACGAUGUUGACGAAUCGACCUAAUGAGAGAUGGACCUAUCAAGUGCCGAGAUGAAUAUGGUCACCAAGUGGUCAUCAAUUAACAACAC